Molecule: ribosomal RNA, 428 nt
Filed under: uncultured bacterium
Lineage: Bacteria
Description: bacterial SSU rRNA
Rfam family: Bacterial small subunit ribosomal RNA
Source: RNAcentral
UGGGGAAUAUUGGACAAUGGGCGAAAGCCUGAUCCAGCCAUGCCGCGUGAGUGACGAAGGCCUUAGGGUUGUAAAGCUCUUUUGGCGGGGAAGAUAAUGACGGUACCCGCAGAAUAAGCUCCGGCUAACUUCGUGCCAGCAGCCGCGGUAAUACGAAGGGGGCUAGCGUUGUUCGGAAUUACUGGGCGUAAAGCGCACGUAGGCGGACUGAUAAGUCAGGGGUGAAAUCCCGGGGCUCAACCUCGGAACUGCCUUUGAUACUGUUAGUCUCGAGUCCGGAAGAGGUGAGUGGAAUUCCUAGUGUAGAGGUGAAAUUCGUAGAUAUUAGGAAGAACACCAGUGGCGAAGGCGGCUCACUGGUCCGGUACUGACGCUGAGGUGCGAAAGCGUGGGGAGCAAACAGGAUUAGAUACCCCGGUAGUCCCUGA